AGCGCAUCCUACACAUGCAAGUCGAACGGCAGCACGGGAGCAAUCCUGGUGGCGAAGUGGCGAACGGGUGAGUAAUAUAUCGGAACGUGCCCAGUCGUGGGGGUUAACGCAGCGAAAGCUGUGCUAAUACCGCAUACGAUCUACGGAUGAAAGCGGGGGAUCGCAAGACCUCGCGCGAUUGGAGCGGCCGAUAUCAGAUUAGUUAGUUGGUGGGGUAAAGGCCCACCAAGGCGACGAUCUGUAGCUGGUCUGAGAGGACGACCAGCCACACUGGAACUGAGACACGGUCCAGACUCCUACGGGAGGCAGCAGUGGGGAAUUUUGGACAAUGGGCGCAAGCCUGAUCCAGCAAUGCCGCGUGCAGGAUGAAGGCCUUCGGGUUGUAAACUGCUUUUGUACGGAACGAAACGGUCCUUUCUAAUACAAGGGGCUAAUGACGGUACCGUAAGAAUAAGCACCGGCUAACUACGUGCCAGCAGCCGCGGUAAUACGUAGGGUGCGAGCGUUAAUCGGAAUUACUGGGCGUAAAGCGUGCGCAGGCGGUUAUGUAAGACAGAUGUGAAAUCCCCGGGCUCAACCUGGGACCUGCAUUUGUGACUGCAUAGCUAGAGUACGGUAGAGGGGGAUGGGAAUUUCCGCGUGUAGCAGUGAAAUGCGUAGAUAUGCGGAGGAACACCGAUGGGCGAAGGCAAUCCCCUGGACCUGUACUGACGCCUCAUGCACGAAAGCGGUGGGGGGAGCAAACAGGAUAGAAUACCUGGUAGUCCCACGCCCUAACCGAUGUCACUGGUGUGGUCUUC
RNAcentral lists this ribosomal RNA (800 nucleotides) under uncultured bacterium. Its description in RNAcentral is "bacterial SSU rRNA". It matches the Rfam family "Bacterial small subunit ribosomal RNA", at positions 41 to 830 of the family's 1533-position model. The record is from RNAcentral.